Molecule: ribosomal RNA, 173 nt
Filed under: uncultured bacterium
Lineage: Bacteria
Description: partial 16S ribosomal RNA
Rfam family: Bacterial small subunit ribosomal RNA
Source: RNAcentral
UACUCCUACGGGAGGCAGCAGUGGGGAAUAUUGGACAAUGGGCGCAAGCCUGAUCCAGCCAUGCCGCGUGAGUGAUGAAGGCCCUAGGGUUGUAAAGCUCUUUCACCGGUGAAGAUAAUGACGGUAACCGGAGAAGAAGCCCCGGCUAACUUCGUGCCAGCAGCCGCGGUAAU